Molecule: ribosomal RNA, 429 nt
Filed under: uncultured beta proteobacterium
Lineage: Bacteria; Pseudomonadati; Pseudomonadota; Betaproteobacteria
Description: bacterial SSU rRNA
Rfam family: Bacterial small subunit ribosomal RNA
Source: RNAcentral
UGGGGAAUUUUGGACAAUGGGCGAAAGCCUGAUCCAGCCAUGCCGCGUGUGUGAAGAAGGCCUUCGGGUUGUAAAGCACUUUCGGACGGAACGAAAUCGCGUGGGCGAAUAUCCUGCGUGGAUGACGGUACCGUAAGAAGAAGCACCGGCUAACUACGUGCCAGCAGCCGCGGUAAUACGUAGGGUGCGAGCGUUAAUCGGAAUUACUGGGCGUAAAGCGUGCGCAGGCGGCGCCGCAAGUCAGGCGUGAAAUCCCCGGGCUUAACCUGGGAAUGGCGCUUGAAACUAUGGUGCUGGAGUGUGACAGAGGGAGGUGGAAUUCCACGUGUAGCGGUGAAAUGCGUAGAGAUGUGGAGGAACACCGAUGGCGAAGGCAGCCUCCUGGGUCAACACUGACGCUCAUGCACGAAAGCGUGGGGAGCAAACAGG